AUUGAACGCUGGCGGCAUGCUUUACACAUGCAAGUCGAACGGUAACAGGUCUUCGGAUGCUGACGAGUGGCGUACGGGUGUGUAAUACAUCGGAACGUGCCUAGUAGUUGGGGAUAACUACUCGAAAGAGUAGCUAAUACCGCAUGAGAUCUACGGAUGAAAGCAGGGGACCUUCGGGCCUUGUGCUACUAGAGCUGCUGAUGGCAGAUUAGUUAGUUGUUGGGGUAAAGGCUUUCCAAGCCUGCGAUCUGUAGCUGGUCUGAGAGGACGACCAGCCAAACUGAGACUGAGACACGGCCCAGACUCCUACGGGAGGCAGCAGUGGGGAAUUUUGGACAAAGGGCGAAAGCCUGAUCCAGCAAUGCCGCGUGCAGGAUGAAGGCCCUCGGGUUGUAAAAUGCUUUUGUACGGAACGAAAAGCCUGGGGCUAAUAUCCCCGGGUCAUGACGGUACCGUAAGAAUAAGCACCGGCUAACUACGUG
RNAcentral lists this ribosomal RNA (482 nucleotides) under uncultured bacterium. RNAcentral describes it as "partial 16S ribosomal RNA". It matches the Rfam family "Bacterial small subunit ribosomal RNA", at positions 30 to 507 of the family's 1533-position model. The record is from RNAcentral.